Molecule: ribosomal RNA, 332 nt
Filed under: uncultured bacterium
Lineage: Bacteria
Description: bacterial SSU rRNA
Rfam family: Bacterial small subunit ribosomal RNA
Source: RNAcentral
CUCGUAGGCGGUUAUAUACGGCGGUGGUGAAAUCCUCCGGCUCAGCUGGAGGUGGUCCGUCGCAACGGUAUAACUCGAGGGUGGUAGAGGCGGAUGGAAUUCCUGGUGUAGCGGUGAAAUGCGUAGAGAUCAGGAGGAACACCCGUGGCGAAGGCGGUCCGCUGGGCCAUGCCUGACGCUGAGGAGCGAAGGCCAGGGUAGUGAACGGGAUUAGAUACCCCGGUAAUCCUGGCGGUAAACGAUGGAGACUAGGUGUCAGCGGUAUCGACCCCGCUGGUGCCGUAGCUAACGCGUGAAGUCUCCCGCCUGGGGAGUACGGCCGCAAGGUUGAA